GGUGGUUCUCGGGUGACACACCCCAUAAUCUGGCUCCCUCCUGUCUGAUUCCAGGUGGGUCCCCUGAGAACUCCA
Molecule: non-coding RNA, 75 nt
Organism: Myotis lucifugus (little brown bat)
Lineage: Eukaryota; Metazoa; Chordata; Mammalia; Chiroptera; Vespertilionidae
Source: Rfam